This 68-nucleotide transfer RNA is filed under the name Osteocephalus oophagus (oophagous slender-legged treefrog). Its description in RNAcentral is "tRNA-Glu". It matches the Rfam family "tRNA". Rfam says of the family: Transfer RNA (tRNA) molecules are approximately 80 nucleotides in length. RNAcentral also lists the same sequence under 2 other names. The record is from RNAcentral. Lineage: Eukaryota; Metazoa; Chordata; Amphibia; Anura; Hylidae.
GUUCUUAUAGUUGAAUACAACAGCAGUUUUUCAGAUUGCAAGUCUAGGUUAAAGUCCUUGUAGGAAUU